CAGCAGCCGCGGUAAGACGAACCGUGCGAACGUUAUUCGGAAUCACUGGGCUUAAAGCGCGUGUAGGCGGAUGGGAGCGUCGGCCUCUGAAAUCCCCCGGCUCAACCGGGGAAGUGGAGCCGAAACGACCCGUCUGGAGGGACGUAGGGGGACCUGGAACUUCCGAUGGAGCGGUGAAAUGCGUUGAGAUCGGAAGGAACGCCCGUGGCGAAGGCGAGGUCCUGGACGUCUGCUGACGCUGAGACGCGAAAGCCAGGGGAGCGAACGGGAUUAGAUACCCGAGUAGUCCCUGUCUCUUAUU
This 301-nucleotide ribosomal RNA is filed under the name uncultured bacterium. Its description in RNAcentral is "partial 16S ribosomal RNA". It matches the Rfam family "Bacterial small subunit ribosomal RNA", at positions 509 to 807 of the family's 1533-position model. The record is from RNAcentral.